AAGGGUGCGUAGGCGGUUUAUUAAGUCAGUGGUGAAAGACGGUCGCUCAACGAUUGCAGUGCCAUUGAUACUGGUAGACUUGAGUGAGAUUGAGGUAGCUGGAAUGGAUAGUGUAGCGGUGAAAAUGCAUAGAUAUUAUCCAGAACACCAAUUGCGUAGGCAAGUUACUAAGUCUCAACUGACGCUGAGGCACGAAAGUGUGGGUAUCAAACAGGAUUAGAUACCCCAGU
This 230-nucleotide ribosomal RNA is filed under the name uncultured bacterium. RNAcentral's name for it is "partial 16S ribosomal RNA". It matches the Rfam family "Bacterial small subunit ribosomal RNA", at positions 563 to 791 of the family's 1533-position model. The record is from RNAcentral.